Molecule: ribosomal RNA, 347 nt
Filed under: uncultured bacterium
Lineage: Bacteria
Description: partial 16S ribosomal RNA
Rfam family: Bacterial small subunit ribosomal RNA
Source: RNAcentral
CCUACGGGGGGCAGCAGUGAGGAAUAUUGGUCAAUGGACGAGAGUCUGAACCAGCCAAGUAGCGUGAAGGAGGACGGCCCUAUGGGUUGUAAACUUCUUGUAUAGGGGAAUAAAAUGUGCCACGUGUGGGAUUUUGUAUGUACCAUAUGAAUAAGGAUCGGCUAACUCCGUGCCAGCAGCCGCGGUAAUACGGAGGAUCCGAGCGUUAUCCGGAUUUAUGGGGGUUAAAGGGAGCGUAGGGGGAUUGUUAAGUCAGUUGUGCAAGUUUGCGGCUCAACCGUACAAUUGCCGUUGAAACUGGCAGUCUUGAGUACAGUAGCGGUGGGCGGCAUUCGUUGUGUAGCGGU